RNAcentral lists this ribosomal RNA (491 nucleotides) under uncultured bacterium. RNAcentral's name for it is "partial 16S ribosomal RNA". It matches the Rfam family "Bacterial small subunit ribosomal RNA", at positions 29 to 506 of the family's 1533-position model. The record is from RNAcentral.
AGUGAACGCUGGCGGUAGGCCUAACACAUGCAAGUCGAACGGCAGCACAGUAAGAGCUUGCUCUUACGGGUGGCGAGUGGCGGACGGGUGAGGAAUACAUCGGAAUCUACUUUUUCGUGGGGGAUAACGUAGGGAAACUUACGCUAAUACCGCAUACGACCUACGGGUGAAAGCAGGGGAUCUUCGGACCUUGCGCGAUUGAAUGAGCCGAUGUCGGAUUAGCUAGUUGGCGGGGUAAAGGCCCACCAAGGCGACGAUCCGUAGCUGGUCUGAGAGGAUGAUCAGCCACACUGGAACUGAGACACGGUCCUGACUCCUACGGGAGGCAGCAGUGGGGAAUAUUGGACAAUGGGCGCAAGCCUGAUCCAGCCAUACCGCGUGGGUGAAGAAGGCCUUCGGGUUGUAAAGCCCUUUUGUUGGGAAAGAAAAGCAGCAGGUUAAUACCCCGCUGUUCUGACGGUACCCAAAGAAUAAGCACCGGCUAACUUCGU